Molecule: RNA transcript, 3177 nt
Organism: Ananas comosus (pineapple)
Lineage: Eukaryota; Viridiplantae; Streptophyta; Magnoliopsida; Poales; Bromeliaceae
Exons: 11
Source: RefSeq, a predicted model, not a curated record
CACUCUUUUUCCACUUUUCUCUCCCCCUUUCUCCCCCGAUCUCUCCCUCGAAACCCUAAACCCUAAACCCUCGUGCUUAGCAAUGGAGAUCUCGAAGAGAAAGAAGGAUAAAAUCUGUGAUAUAUGUGGCAAUAUUGGUUAUGCAGAACACAUUGUCACUUGCUAUCUGUGUAAGAAGGCUUCUGAACAUAUCUACUGCAUGCAGAAACAUAUCAAUGUGAUUCCAGUUGAAUGGUAUUGUGAGAGAUGCCAACUGAGUGCUAAACCAGUUCAUGAGACAGAGGUGGAAGAUAUGAAUAGAACCAAGACUAUCAAGCUGAUUAAUGAUGGCGAAAAUCAGCUAAUUGAAACUAGAAUGCCUCCACAUUCCCCGGAUAUUAACAAUGAGGGAAGGGUUCCUACCAAGCAUGCAAAAGUAAAGUUUAUUCCCACUGAAGAAGUUACUUUUCUAACUCGAGGAAAGCUGGUUGGUAGAAGGGACAAUUUAAGCCCAUCAUGCCUUGUCACAACUCCUCCCAAGUUAAAAAGGGCAUCAGCCAACAUGUCAACGGUACCAGUUUCAAAGUCCAUUAUGCUCAGCCCACCAAGUCCGGGCUCUAUGAAUGCUGAAGCAUGCAUUUCUCCAAAAAGUGCCUCUGUCGGACAUGCUGGCAAAAGCAGGGACCGGGAGAUGCAAAAGAACAAAUCUUCAGGUGGCGUUCUUUGUCCCAAUAUUCAAUCUAGAGGCCCUGACCGUGAUGUAUCGGAUCUGCCUGUAACAUUAAUUAUAAAUCCAAAGGAAAAGUUUCCUCACCCUGCCUUGGAAGCCUGUUGGAUGGGAACCUUUGAAUUCUUUGAGGUAGUACCUCAUAUUCAUAGUGGAAUUCAAGCCCAUUUCGCUAACCAAGUGUCGCUUAAAGCAUAUGAAGUUUUAAAGCAAAUGCCUAAGGAGUUAAAGCUUGAGAUACUUCCGCGUUUAGAUGCUUGGCCAAAGAUGUUCCAGUCAGAUCCGCCUGAUUAUAAUGACAUCGGAGUAUACUUCUUCUCACGUGGACUUGAGAGGCCUAAGGAGAAGUAUAUUCGUCUACUAGAACGUGUUUCUGCACGGGAUAUAGCUAUGAAGACAUAUAUAGAUACUGAUAUCCAGCUGCUGAUAUAUUCAUCCAAGGUACUUCCAGCACAUUGUCAAUUUAUAGAUGGACAAAUUUAUUUGUGGGGUGUAUUUAAAAAUCUAAAGAGACAGAAUCAGCGAAAACCGGAGCAAACCCCAUGUUGCAGUCCUGCUGAUACAUCAAUCGACAAGUGUAAUCAGUCAAUCACACCCAUUCGAGUCAAGUCUGAGGAAAUUGAUAUGGAUAUUGACAUGGUAGGAGGUAAUGACGUUGGGAUGGUUGAUAUGCCCAUUCAGAGGGUUGGUAAACCAAAGCCGACACUCGAUACUCCUCCUGGCUUUGCUUAUGAUGGUCCUCCAGGAUUUUCUAGACCAAUUUCAAAUGGCUUUGCUUAUGAUGGUCCUUCAGGAUUUUCUAGACCAAUUUCAAAUGGUGGUAAUAAAGAAAAGCAGCUAUUGGUGAAGUUUUCAUUGAAAAAUGUGAAAAAACCAGCAUUUACUGAGUUUCCACCUGGAUUUGUUGGAAUCCCAGUUUUGAAACAGCAAAGUGACACAGAUGCCUGGCCUAAGGGUGAAAACUUAUCUAACAAUAGCCCACCAUCUUCAACAAUUGGAGGAUAUUCAGGAACAGCACCAAAAGCAUGUGAAAGGCAACCAGAACAAGAUCAGGCACAGGGCAAAACGCACAAGUCUAUGGGACAUUCUAGAACGAGCUCUCCCUGCCCUUUGAUCGAAAAGAAGAGAGGAUUUAAUUCAGAAGAUCGACUGCUUGGUGAAACUAAACUACACGUCCCAAGUCUGAAGCUUGCAUCAUUGUCUGCCAAGGAGAGCACGAAACGCUCUUCUGAUGGCCCUUUAUUCAAAAGUUGCGGUAGGAAUGGUGCAGCAGCAUUGACUCGUACGCACAUGUCACAAAAGAAACAGGAAAGGGACUUCAAGAAGACAAAUCAUACAGGUGAAGGAGAUUGCCCUAAAACAAAACCAAUGGUUCGUCGAGUAUCUUUAGUCUCAAAGAAUCAUGGCAGUUCAUCUUCACUUGUAUCAGCAGGUCCAAAACCGAGAAACUUGAGACCUCAAAACAGAGUGAUGGGCUCGAAGAAAUGGGAUGUAACGGAAGAACAUGGAAUGAGAAGCAUGGGAAGCUGGAGAAAAUGGGACGAACCGAGUGAGAAACCGUCUCGUGUGUCUACUGCUUAUCAAAGCCCAUUUAGCAGUGGCCAAAGGGCAGUUCCACCUUCCCCUUGGCCAACAUGGGAAGAUCAUGCAAACAAAGUAAGCAAAGAGAAACAAGAUUUUCCUUCCGGUUCUGAGGCAUGGUAAUAUCUGAAUCAUGAAUUACUUAUAGGGUAGGGCUCAGGUAGUAUGGCUGUUAAAAAAUAGUUCCACUACUUUGAUCCGCUACCUGAAAACAAAUACUGAGAACAAGCUUUUUGAGGACAGCUUAGUGAAUGCACAAUCUACGUGGAGUAAAGUUGCAGUGUAGACAAUUGUUCACACUUCGACCUUGUUGAGCUUAUCAUCUAGGAGGCUGACGAAUCAUUGUGAGCUCAGGCCAUCUGGUUCAAAAGAGAGUAUUUAAGUCAGAGGAACAAGCGUAAAUUGAAGGAGACAGUAUCUUUGGGAAUGUUUUGUGGUGGGAUGUGCCGGUGAAUCUGAUAUCAUUUAGAUACAAACAAACUUCCAUUGCUGAUUUAUUGUUGUUGAUCAUCAUGUUAUUGAGGGACUCUCGAGAUUGAACUGCCUGAUGCAUGUAAUGCUUUAAAACGGCUUCUUUGGUGCAUUGAAGUAUCAUCAGAUCUCACUUGAUCAAGAGUUCUGGAAUUGCAUGAGAUCAUGCGACUAAAUUGUCGAUAAGACAUCAUCUAUUGAUCAUAAACAAAAUAGAGUAUGUUCAGAGAGUGCAGUUGUUGAUUUUGUGCUUAUUACUAACCAGUUGUUUCUGAAAUCUGAAAUGAUGUAGCCCUGCCAUAAGUAUGGUUCAAGUCAAACUUAAAACUUGGUCAGCUGAGUUCUGAGGUGUCAUCUCCACGAGGAAUGAUUGGCACUGACUUGAAAUCACCUAUUGAUAUCUAUAUCUAUGUCUACUG